UGGGGAAUUUUGCGCAAUGGGCGAAAGCCUGACGCAGCAACGCCGCGUGAGUGAUGAAGGCUUUCGGGUCGUAAAGCUCUGUCAGUGGGAAAGAAGUGUAUUGUGGCUAAUAUCCAUGAUACUUGACGGUACCCUCAAAG
RNAcentral lists this ribosomal RNA (140 nucleotides) under uncultured Geobacter sp. RNAcentral's name for it is "partial 16S ribosomal RNA". It matches the Rfam family "Bacterial small subunit ribosomal RNA", at positions 355 to 486 of the family's 1533-position model. Lineage: Bacteria; Pseudomonadati; Thermodesulfobacteriota; Desulfuromonadia; Geobacterales; Geobacteraceae. The record is from RNAcentral.